RNAcentral lists this ribosomal RNA (1355 nucleotides) under Microbacterium sp. RNAcentral's name for it is "bacterial SSU rRNA". It matches the Rfam family "Bacterial small subunit ribosomal RNA", at positions 76 to 1442 of the family's 1533-position model. The record is from RNAcentral. Lineage: Bacteria; Bacillati; Actinomycetota; Actinomycetes; Micrococcales; Microbacteriaceae.
CAGCUUGCUGGGUGGAUUAGUGGCGAACGGGUGAGUAACACGUGAGCAACCUGCCCCUGACUCUGGGAUAAGCGCUGGAAACGGCGUCUAAUACUGGAUACGAACAAGAAUCGCAUGGUUACUUGUUGGAAAGAUUUUUCGGUUGGGGAUGGGCUCGCGGCCUAUCAGCUUGUUGGUGAGGUAAUGGCUCACCAAGGCGUCGACGGGUAGCCGGCCUGAGAGGGUGACCGGCCACACUGGGACUGAGACACGGCCCAGACUCCUACGGGAGGCAGCAGUGGGGAAUAUUGCACAAUGGGCGCAAGCCUGAUGCAGCAACGCCGCGUGAGGGAUGACGGCCUUCGGGUUGUAAACCUCUUUUAGCAGGGAAGAAGCGAGAGUGACGGUACCUGCAGAAAAAGCACCGGCUAACUACGUGCCAGCAGCCGCGGUAAUACGUAGGGUGCAAGCGUUAUCCGGAAUUAUUGGGCGUAAAGAGCUCGUAGGCGGUUUGUCGCGUCUGCUGUGAAAUCUGGGGGCUCAACCCCCAGCCUGCAGUGGGUACGGGCAGACUAGAGUGCGGUAGGGGAGAUUGGAAUUCCUGGUGUAGCGGUGGAAUGCGCAGAUAUCAGGAGGAACACCGAUGGCGAAGGCAGAUCUCUGGGCCGUAACUGACGCUGAGGAGCGAAAGGGUGGGGAGCAAACAGGCUUAGAUACCCUGGUAGUCCACCCCGUAAACGUUGGGAACUAGUUGUGGGGUCCAUUCCACGGAUUCCGUGACGCAGCUAACGCAUUAAGUUCCCCGCCUGGGGAGUACGGCCGCAAGGCUAAAACUCAAAGGAAUUGACGGGGACCCGCACAAGCGGCGGAGCAUGCGGAUUAAUUCGAUGCAACGCGAAGAACCUUACCAAGGCUUGACAUAUACGAGAACGGGCCAGAAAUGGUCAACUCUUUGGACACUCGUAAACAGGUGGUGCAUGGUUGUCGUCAGCUCGUGUCGUGAGAUGUUGGGUUAAGUCCCGCAACGAGCGCAACCCUCGUUCUAUGUUGCCAGCACGUAAUGGUGGGAACUCAUGGGAUACUGCCGGGGUCAACUCGGAGGAAGGUGGGGAUGACGUCAAAUCAUCAUGCCCCUUAUGUCUUGGGCUUCACGCAUGCUACAAUGGCCGGUACAAUGGGCUGCAAUACCGUGAGGUGGAGCGAAUCCCAAAAAGCCGGUCCCAGUUCGGAUUGAGGUCUGCAACUCGACCUCAUGAAGUCGGAGUCGCUAGUAAUCGCAGAUCAGCAACGCUGCGGUGAAUACGUUCCCGGGUCUUGUACACACCGCCCGUCAAGUCAUGAAAGUCGGUAACACCUGAAGCCGGUGGCCUAACCCC